Molecule: ribosomal RNA, 1542 nt
Filed under: uncultured Bordetella sp.
Lineage: Bacteria; Pseudomonadati; Pseudomonadota; Betaproteobacteria; Burkholderiales; Alcaligenaceae
Description: partial 16S-23S ribosomal RNA intergenic spacer
Rfam family: Bacterial small subunit ribosomal RNA
Source: RNAcentral
AGUUCGAUUAUGGCUCAGAUUGAACGCUGGCGGGAUGCUUUACAUGCAAGUCGAACGGCAGCACGGACUUCGGUCUGGUGGCGAGGAAGUGAGAACGGGUGAGUAAUGUAUCGGAACGCCUAGUAGCGGGGGAUAAUCUACGCGAAAGCGUAGCUAAUACCGCAUAACACUCGGGGAAAGCGGGGGCCUUCGGGCUUCGGUAUUAGAGCGGCCGAUAUCGGAUUAGCUAGUUGGUGGGGUAACGGCUCACCAAGGCGACGAUCCGUAGCUGGUUUGAGAGGACUGUGACCAGCCACACUGGGACCGAGACACGGCCCACCCAGACUCACGGAGGCAGCAGUGGGGAAUUUGGACAAUGGGGAAAUCUCGAUCCAGCCAUCUCCGGUGGUGCGAUGUAAGGUUCUUUCGGGUUGUAAAGCACUUCAAGUAGGAAGGAAACGGCACGGAUAAUACCCCGCAAUUAGACGGUACCUGCAGAAUGGGGCACCGGCUAACUCAUGCGCCAGCAGCCGCGGUAUCGCUUGUGGUGCAAGCGUUGAAUGGAAAUUACCGGGCGGCGUGCGCAGGCGGUUCGGAAAGAAAGAUGUGAAUCCCAGAGCUUAACUUUUGCCAACUGCAUUUUUAACUACUUGAGCUGAGUGCGUGUCAGAGGGAGGUGGAAUUCAUGUAGGGCAGUGAAAAUGCGUAGAUAUGCGGAGAACACUGACGGGCGAAGGCAGCCUCCUGGGAAGACAAUUGACGCUCAUGCACGAAAGCGUGGGAGGUCAGGAUUAGAUACCCUGGUAGUCCACGCCCUAAACGAUGUCAAAUUAGCUGCUGGGGCCUUCGGGCCUUUGCAGUAGCGCAGCUAACGCGUGAAGCUGACUGCCUUAUACGGUCGCAAGAUUAAAACUCAAAGGAAUUGACGGGGACCCGCACAAGCGGUGGAUGAUGUGGAUUUAAUUCGAUGCAAACGGCGAAAACCUUACCUACCAGACAUGUCUGGGAAUCCCAGAAGAGAUCGGGAGUGCUCGCAAGAAUGGGAACACAGGUGCUGCAUGGCUGUUUGCCGUGCUCGUGUCGAGAGAUGUUGGGUUAAGUCCCGCAACGAGCGCAACCCUUGUCAUUAGUUGCUACGAAAGGGCACUCUAAUACGAGACUUGCUGGCGACAAACCGGAGGAAGGUAUGACGCUCAAGUCUCAUGGGUCUUUAUGGGUAGGUUUCAUAUGUCAUGGCACAAUGGUCGGGACAGAGGGUCGCCAACCUGGUGCGAGGGGGAGCCAAUCCCGGUGAAACCCGAUCGUAGUCCGGAUCAGUUCGCAACCUGACUGCGCGGAAGUCGGAAUCGCUAGUAAUCGUGGAUCGGUACGUCGCGGUGAAUACGUUCCCGGGUCUUGUACACACCGCCCGUCACACCCAUGGAGUGGGUUUUACCAGAAGUAGUUAGCUCAACCGUAAGGAGGGCGAUUACCACGGUAGGAUUCAGAUCAGUGGCGCCGUAACAAGGUAACCCUGAAGCAUACCCACCGAUGCUCCCAGAGCAACACAACCGGAACGAAGUG